UAAAUUUGGGUAUUGUAAGGUUUUUCUAUAUUGAAAAGUCCUACUAAAAUUGCACGAUGAGUUCCAUUGGUUAUAUGCUUCUAUUUUGGAAGUUAAAGCUAUUGGUCUUAAGUAUGGGCUAAAUAUCUGUGUUUAGAGGACUUGGUUUUUUAAGGUGAUUCAUAAGCAGGGGUGAGGGGCAAAACUUCAAGCUCUAAGGGCCAGUUUGGCAUUGCUGUGCUGUGAAAAUAAUCGUUGUCAGAUUUGCUGUGAGAGAAAGUAGUUUGGCGUUUAGUAAACUUUUUGUUAAAAGUGUUGUUGGUAUUGAUUCUUGCAUAAUCAGAAAACCCAGUGCCUUUUCGAAACUGAUUCCAGCAUAAUUAGAAAAUGAAAACAUCUCAUUAGCUACUUUCCCUUAUAACUUUCUCUCACAGUAAUUUUUAACAAUAAAUGAUUUUAUCAUAAUUUACCAAAUGGUCUAGGCUUCUCAAUUUUUUUUUUUUUAAAACACUUACCACCUCAAAUAAGCAAUGCCAAAUGGGCACUAAUUAGAAAAAUAUUUAAA
This 544-nucleotide long non-coding RNA is filed under the name Prunus persica (peach). RNAcentral describes it as "long non-coding RNA (PPER_LNC007644)". The record is from RNAcentral. Lineage: Eukaryota; Viridiplantae; Streptophyta; Magnoliopsida; Rosales; Rosaceae.